Molecule: ribosomal RNA, 490 nt
Filed under: uncultured bacterium
Lineage: Bacteria
Description: partial 16S ribosomal RNA
Rfam family: Bacterial small subunit ribosomal RNA
Source: RNAcentral
GACGAACGCUGGCGGCGUGCUUAACACAUGCAAGUCGAACGGUGAACGAGGGAGCUUGCUCCCUCCGGAUCAGUGGCGAACGGGUGAGUAACACGUGAGCAAUCUGCCCCGAACUCUGGGAUAAGCGUUGGAAACGACGUCUAAUACCGGAUACGACGCGGGAGGGCAUCCUCUCCGCGUGGAAAGAACUUCGGUUCGGGAUGAGCUCGCGGCCUAUCAGCUUGUUGGUGAGGUAACGGCUCACCAAGGCGACGACGGGUAGCCGGCCGGAGAGGGUGACCGGCCACACGGGAACGGAGAAGCGGGCCAGAGUCCUAAGGGAGGCAGCAGGAGGGAAUCUUCCGCAAGGGGGGAAAGCAGGACGGAGCAACGCCGCGGGAGUGAGGAAGGGCUGCGGAUCGGAAAACGCGGUGAUUAGGGAAGAAAAAAUGGGGAAGUAACGAGGCAAGGCGUGACGGUACCUAAUCAGAAAGCCACGGCUAACUACGUG